Molecule: regulatory RNA element, 101 nt
Organism: Pseudorhodoferax sp. Leaf267
Lineage: Bacteria; Pseudomonadati; Pseudomonadota; Betaproteobacteria; Burkholderiales; Comamonadaceae
Rfam family: Glycine riboswitch aptamer
About the family: This family represents the bacterial glycine riboswitch. Glycine riboswitches usually consist of two metabolite-binding aptamers domains with similar structures in tandem.
Source: Rfam
GGCGUGGGAUCGGGAGAGUCCGCACCGCAGCAGCUGCUGCGGUCGGCGCCGAAGGAGCAACCGCCCCGGAAUCUCUCAGGCACCAGGACCGGCCCCACGAA